GAUGAACGCUGGCGGCGUGCCUAAUACAUGCAAGUCGAGCGAACGGACGAGAAGCUUGCUUUUCUGAUGUUAGCGGCGGACGGGUGAGUAACACGUGGAUAACCUACCUAUAAGACUGGGAUAACUUCGGGAAACCGGAGCUAAUACCGGAUAAUAUUUUGAACCGCAUGGUUCAAAAGUGAAAGACGGUCUUGCUGUCACUUAUAGAUGGAUCCGCGCUGCAUUAGCUAGUUGGUAAGGUAACGGCUUACCAAGGCAACGAUGCAUAGCCGACCUGAGAGGGUGAUCGGCCACACUGGAACUGAGACACGGUCCAGACUCCUACGGGAGGCAGCAGUAGGGAAUCUUCCGCAAUGGGCGAAAGCCUGACGGAGCAACGCCGCGUGAGUGAUGAAGGUCUUCGGAUCGUAAAACUCUGUUAUUAGGGAAGAACAUAUGUGUAAGUAACUGUGCACAUCUUGACGGUACCUAAUCAGAAAGCCACGGCUAACUACGUGCCAGCAGCCGCGGUAAUACGUAGGUGGCAAGCGUUAUCCGGAAUUAUUGGGCGUAAAGCGCGCGUAGGCGGUUUUUUAAGUCUGAUGUGAAAGCCCACGGCUCAACCGUGGAGGGUCAUUGGAAACUGGAAAACUUGAGUGCAGAAGAGGAAAGUGGAAUUCCAUGUGUAGCGGUGAAAUGCGCAGAGAUGUGGAGGAACACCAGUGGCGAAGGCGACUUUCUGGUCUGUAACUGACGCUGAUGUGCGAAAGCGUGGGGAUCAAACAGGAUUAGAUACCCUGGUAGUCCACGCCGUAAACGAUGAGUGCUAAGUGUUAGGGGGUUUCCGCCCCUUAGUGCUGCAGCUAACGCAUUAAGCACUCCGCCUGGGGAGUACGACCGCAAGGUUGAAACUCAAAGGAAUUGACGGGGGCCCGCACAAGCGGUGGAGCAUGUGGUUUAAUUCGAAGCAACGCGAAGAACCUUACCAAAUCUUGACAUCCUUUGACAACUCUAGAGAUAGAGCCUUCCCCUUCGGGGGACAAAGUGACAGGUGGUGCAUGGCUGUCGUCAGCUCGUGUCGUGGGAUGUUGGGUUAAGUCCCGCAACGAGCGCAACCCUUAAGCUUAGUUGCCAUCAUUAAGUUGGGCACUCUAAGUUGACUGCCGGUGACAAACCGGAGGAAGGUGGGGAUGACGUCAAAUCAUCAUGCCCCUUAUGAUUUGGGCUACACACGUGCUACAAUGGACAAUACAAAGGGCAGCGAAACCGCGAGGUCAAGCAAAUCCCAUAAAGUUGUUCUCAGUUCGGAUUGUAGUCUGCAACUCGACUACAUGAAGCUGGAAUCGCUAGUAAUCGUAGAUCAGCAUGCUACGGUGAAUACGUUCCCGGGUCU
This 1372-nucleotide ribosomal RNA is filed under the name uncultured bacterium. RNAcentral describes it as "bacterial SSU rRNA". It matches the Rfam family "Bacterial small subunit ribosomal RNA", at positions 28 to 1381 of the family's 1533-position model. The record is from RNAcentral.